UACGUAGGGGGCGAGCGUUGUCCGGAGUUACUGGGCGUAAAGGGCAUGUAGGCGGUGGGGCGCGUUUCGCGUGACAGCGGAUGGCUUAACUGUCCGAGGGUGCGAAAGACGGCCGCACUAGAGGGCCAGAGAGGGACACGGAAUUCCGGGUGGAGUGGUGAAAUGCGUAGAGAUCCGGAGGAACACCGAAGGCGAAGGCAGUGUCCUGGCUGGUGACUGACGCUGAGGUGCGAAAGCCAGGGGAGCGAACGGG
This 253-nucleotide ribosomal RNA is filed under the name uncultured Ktedonobacter sp. RNAcentral describes it as "partial 16S ribosomal RNA". It matches the Rfam family "Bacterial small subunit ribosomal RNA", at positions 524 to 776 of the family's 1533-position model. The record is from RNAcentral. Lineage: Bacteria; Bacillati; Chloroflexota; Ktedonobacteria; Ktedonobacterales; Ktedonobacteraceae.